Molecule: long non-coding RNA, 584 nt
Filed under: Elaeis guineensis (African oil palm)
Lineage: Eukaryota; Viridiplantae; Streptophyta; Magnoliopsida; Arecales; Arecaceae
Description: long non-coding RNA (EGUI_LNC079432)
Source: RNAcentral
GCAUUCAUUCUUAUCAACAUUAGAACACUCCUUUUAUACUGAUGACCCCAUGACAGAAGUCUAUUAUCUAGUAUUAUAGUUUCUUUAACACGUCAUAAUCAAGUUCCAUAGUCAUUAAGAAUGUCCCCGUCUCACCCUCUAAGCAAUCAACAAAUUGAAAAAAAUUUAUCAUCCUUAGAUAAGCCAAUUCACAAAUGGUGUCCAAUUUCAAGUCCCUUGAUGUGUAUUUUUAAUGUAAAAUAUAGUAAAUGCGUCAAAAAUAGAUGGAAAGCAAUCCAUUUUUGAAGAUUUUUGGUUCAAGGGUAAAAUUGAAAAUUUGGGUUGAUUCAGAUUCCUGCAUUUAAAUGAACCAAACAGCAACAAUAGGAAUCAGCAAUUCCAAUUUCAAUUCUAGUCACGAACCAAAUACACCAGGGAAUCUAGCCAUUCCGAUUCCCAUUUACAUCUAUUAUGAUUCUAAUUCCAAUUACGGUCAUGAACCAAACACACCUUCAACAUGUUGUUAUUCAUAAAUCCUAUUUUGGCAGCUGCCCCUCCUAUAGUUGCUUCAAGCUUAUUUAUUGUUGCUCCAACAUUUCAUUCAA